This 726-nucleotide ribosomal RNA is filed under the name uncultured prokaryote. Its description in RNAcentral is "bacterial SSU rRNA". It matches the Rfam family "Bacterial small subunit ribosomal RNA", at positions 28 to 771 of the family's 1533-position model. The record is from RNAcentral.
GAUGAACGCUGACAGAAUGCUUAACACAUGCAAGUCGAUUCAAGUUACCUUCGGGUAAUGAGGAUGGCGGACGGGUGAGUAACGCGUAAGGAACUUGCCUCUUGGUCUGGGACAACUGUUGGAAACGACAGCUAAUACCGGAUAUUAUGAGAUUCUCGCAUGGGAAACUUAUGAAAGCUAUAUGCGCCAAGAGAGAGCCUUGCGUUCCAUUAGCUAGUUGGUGGGGUAAUGGCCCACCAAGGCGACGAUGGAUAGCCGGCCUGAGAGGGUGAACGGCCACAAGGGGACUGAGACACGGCCCUUACUCCUACGGGAGGCAGCAGUGGGGAAUAUUGGACAAUGGGCCACAAGCCUGAUCCAGCAAUUCUGUGUGCACGAUGAAGGUCUUCGGAUUGUAAAGUGCUUUCAGUUGGGAAGAAGAAAGUGACGGUACCAACAGAAGAAGCGACGGCUAAAUACGUGCCAGCAGCCGCGGUAAUACGUAUGUCGCAAGCGUUAUCCGGAUUUAUUGGGCGUAAAGCGCGUCUAGGCGGAAAAAUAAGUCUGAUGUUAAAAUGCGGGGCUCAACUCCGUAUUGCGUUGGAAACUGUUUUUCUAGAGUACUGGAGAGGUGGNNGGAACUACAAGUGUAGAGGUGAAAUUCGUAGAUAUUUGUAGGAAUGCCGAUGGAGAAGUCAGCUCACUGGACAGAUACUGACGCUGAAGCGCGAAAGCGUGGGGGAGCAA